Molecule: non-coding RNA, 177 nt
Filed under: SAR92 clade bacterium
Lineage: Bacteria; Pseudomonadati; Pseudomonadota; Gammaproteobacteria; Cellvibrionales; Porticoccaceae
Description: 6S RNA
Rfam family: 6S / SsrS RNA
About the family: E. coli 6S RNA was the first non coding RNA to be sequenced, but its function was unknown until recently. It consists of 184 nucleotides that fold into an extended hairpin structure with a large single-stranded internal bulge.
Source: RNAcentral
UUAGGCCUGGAAUGUCCGCCAGCCAAGAAGUCCCUGAGCCGAUACAUAUAAAAAGGCUUCUCUAAGACAACACUGUUGUGCAAUUCCGUGCGACGGAACGCCUGAUGUGUUGCUGGAGUCGCCACCUUGAACUUUUCGGUUCAAGGCCACUUUGGCAGCGACAUUUCCGGGUUCAAA